AGAAUCAACGCUGGCGGCGUGCCUAACACAUGCAAGUCGAACGAGAAAGGGACUUCGGUCCUGAGUAUAGUGGCGCACGGGUGAGUAACACGUGAAUAAUCUACCUCCGAGUGGGGAAUAACCAAGAGAAAUCUUGGCUAAUACCGCAUAACACUUACGAGUCAAAGCAGCAAUGCGCUUGGAGAGGAGUUCGCGGCAGAUUAGUUAGUUGGCGGGGUAAUGGCCCACCAAGACGAUGAUCUGUAUCCGGCCUGAGAGGGCGCACGGACACACUGGAACUGAAACACGGUCCAGACUCCUACGGGAGGCAGCAGUGGGGAAUUUUGCGCAAUGGGGGAAACCCUGACGCAGCAACGCCGCGUGGAGGAUGAAGUAUCUCGGUACGUAAACUCCUUUCGAUGGGGAAGAUAAUGACGGUACCCAUAGAAGAAGCCCCGGCUAACUUCGCGCCAGCAGCCGC
This 460-nucleotide ribosomal RNA is filed under the name uncultured bacterium. RNAcentral describes it as "SSU rRNA". It matches the Rfam family "Bacterial small subunit ribosomal RNA", at positions 26 to 518 of the family's 1533-position model. The record is from RNAcentral.